CCGGCGACCGGCGCACGGGUGAGUAACACGUAUGCAACCUGCCCCUGUCAGGGGGAUAACACUUAGAAAUAGGUGCUAAUACCGCAUAAUAGGGAAUACCGCAUGGUAAUCCUUUGAAAACUCCGGUGGUACAGGAUGGGCCCGCGUCUGAUUAGCCAGUUGGCGGGGUAACGGCCCACCAAAGCGACGAUCAGCAGCCGGCCUGAGAGGGUGGACGGCCACACUGGGACUGAGACACGGCCCAGACUCCUACGGAAGGCAGCAG
Molecule: ribosomal RNA, 265 nt
Filed under: uncultured bacterium
Lineage: Bacteria
Description: partial 16S ribosomal RNA
Rfam family: Bacterial small subunit ribosomal RNA
Source: RNAcentral